Long non-coding RNA from Haliotis rubra (blacklip abalone), 159 nucleotides. RefSeq lists it as uncharacterized. Lineage: Eukaryota; Metazoa; Mollusca; Gastropoda; Lepetellida; Haliotidae. The transcript is spliced from 3 exons. The record is from RefSeq and is a predicted model, not a curated record.
AUUGUAUUCACUUUUAAUGGUUCACUCCCCAAAGACAGAUCUCCCAUAAGACAGACACAAUGAGUACACUAAUUAGCUGAGACUGGCUGUCCACCCCUAUUUACUUAAUGAGCUGAUCCAGAGUCACUACAGAGUAUAGUAACAACACACUCCUAUCAC